Molecule: ribosomal RNA, 662 nt
Filed under: uncultured bacterium
Lineage: Bacteria
Description: bacterial SSU rRNA
Rfam family: Bacterial small subunit ribosomal RNA
Source: RNAcentral
CGGACGGGUGAGUAACGCGUGAGAAUCUGCCCUCAGGAGGGGGAUAACAGUUGGAAACGACUGCUAAUACCCCAUAUGCCGAGAGGUGAAACGAAUUUCGCCUGGGGAUGAGCUCGCGUCUGAUUAGCUUGUUGGUGGGGUAAAGGCCUACCAAGCUUCGAUCAGUAGCUGGUCUGAGAGGACGAUCAGCCACACUGGGACUGAGACACGGCCCAGACUCCUACGGGAGGCAGCAGUGGGGAAUUUUCCGCAAUGGGCGCAAGCCUGACGGAGCAACGCCGCGUGAGGGAUGAAGGCCUUUGGGCUGUAAACCUCUUUUCUCAAGGAAGAACAUCUGACGGUACUUGAGGAAUAAGCCACGGCUAAUUCCGUGCCAGCAGCCGCGGUAAUACGGGAGUGGCAAGCGUUAUCCGGAAUUAUUGGGCGUAAAGCGUCCGCAGGCGGCCGUUUAAGUCUGUUGUUAAAUCGUGGAGCUCAACUCCAUCACGGCAAUGGAAACUGUUCGGCUUGAGUAUGGUAGGGGCAGAGGGAAUUUCCGGUGUAGCGGUGAAAUGCGUAGAUAUCGGGAAGAACACCAGUGGCAAAAGCGCUCUGCUGGGCCAUUACUGACGCUCAUGGACGAAAGCCAGGGGAGCGAAAGGGAUUAGAUACCCCUGUAGUCA